RNAcentral lists this ribosomal RNA (403 nucleotides) under uncultured bacterium. RNAcentral's name for it is "partial 16S ribosomal RNA". It matches the Rfam family "Bacterial small subunit ribosomal RNA", at positions 29 to 526 of the family's 1533-position model. The record is from RNAcentral.
AUUGAACGCUGGCGGCAGGCCUAACACCUGCAAGUCGAGCGAGCGGCGGACGGGUGAGUAAUGUAUGGGGACUGCCCGAUAGAGGGGGAUAACUACUGGCAACGGUGGCUAAUACCGCAUACUAUCGGAUAACCCAUAUGGGAUUAGCUCGUAGGUGGGGUAAAGGCUCACCUAGGCGACGAUCUCUAGCUGGUCUGAGAGGAUGAACAGCAACACUGGAACGGAGACAUGGCCCAGACUCCGACGGAGGCAGCAGUGGGGAAUAGUGCACAAUGGGCGCAAGCCUGAGUCAGCGAUGCCGCGUGUAUGAAGAAGGCCUUAGGUUUGUAAAGCACGUUCAGCGGGGAGGCGUUACCCGAAGAAGAAGCACCGGCUAACUCCGUGCCAGCAGCCGCGGUAAUAC